AUUGAACGCUGGCGGCAGGCCUAACACAUGCAAGUCGAGCGGAUGAAGGGAGCUUGCUCCUGGAUUCAGCGGCGGACGGGUGAGUAAUGCCUAGGAAUCUGCCUGGUAGUGGGGGAUAACGUCCGGAAACGGGCGCUAAUACCGCAUACGUCCUGAGGGAGAAAGUGGGGGAUCUUCGGACCUCACGCUAUCAGAUGAGCCUAGGUCGGAUUAGCUAGUUGGUGGGGUAAAGGCCUACCAAGGCGACGAUCCGUAACUGGUCUGAGAGGAUGAUCAGUCACACUGGAACUGAGACACGGUCCAGACUCCUACGGGAGGCAGCAGUGGGGAAUAUUGGACAGUGGGCAAAAGCCUGAUCCAGCCAUGCCGCGUGUAUGAAGAAGGUCUUCGGAUUGUAAAGCACUUUAAGUUGGGAGGAAGGGCAGUAAGUUAAUACCUUGCUGUUUUGACGUUACCAACAGAAUAAGCACCGGCUAACUUCGUG
RNAcentral lists this ribosomal RNA (484 nucleotides) under uncultured bacterium. RNAcentral describes it as "partial 16S ribosomal RNA". It matches the Rfam family "Bacterial small subunit ribosomal RNA", at positions 30 to 507 of the family's 1533-position model. The record is from RNAcentral.